GGGGGUAUAGCUCAGGGGUAGAGCAUUUGACUGCAGAUCAAGAGGUCCCUGGUUCAAAUCCAGGUGCCCCCG
RNAcentral lists this transfer RNA (72 nucleotides) under Ceratotherium simum simum (southern white rhinoceros). RNAcentral describes it as "tRNA-Cys (GCA) (tRNA-Cys-GCA-11-1)". It matches the Rfam family "tRNA". From Rfam's summary of the family: Transfer RNA (tRNA) molecules are approximately 80 nucleotides in length. Their secondary structure includes four short double-helical elements and three loops (D, anti-codon, and T loops). The record is from RNAcentral. Lineage: Eukaryota; Metazoa; Chordata; Mammalia; Perissodactyla; Rhinocerotidae.